RNAcentral lists this ribosomal RNA (464 nucleotides) under Proasellus gjorgjevici typicus. Its description in RNAcentral is "partial 16S ribosomal RNA". It matches the Rfam family "Bacterial large subunit ribosomal RNA", at positions 1835 to 2589 of the family's 2925-position model. Lineage: Eukaryota; Metazoa; Arthropoda; Malacostraca; Isopoda; Asellidae. The record is from RNAcentral.
UCUUGAAAUGAUUUCAAGUAACCUCUGCCCUAUGAAUAGUUUAAAUGGCCGCAGUAUUUUGACUGUGCAAAGGUAGCAUAAUCACUUGUCUUUUAAUUGGAGGCUGGAAUGAAAGAGGCGACGAAAUUUGGGCUAUUGAUCUUUAAGGGAUAAAUUGACAUAAAAGUCAAAAGGCUUUUAUAUAUCAAAGGGACGAUAAGACCCUAUAAAACUUUACUGUGGGAUAGAUUAUCUAGGGAGUAUUAAAGGUACGGUUUGACUGGGGCGGUUUAUAUAAAAACAAUUACAAUAUAAAUAUAUUUAAUAAAAUCUGAGAACUUUAAUAUAAAAUGAACAAGUUACUUUAGGGAUAACAGCAUAAUUCUCCCAGAGAGUCCUAAUUGGCGGGAGAGCUUAUGACCUCGAUGUUGAAUUGGGAAGGCUAAUGUAAGUAGAAAUAUAUUAAGAGAGUCUGUUCGACUAUU